ACGGGUGAGUAACACGUGAGCAAUCUGCCCUGGACUCUGGGAUAACCCCGAGAAAUCGGAGCUAAUACCGGAUACGACACCUCCCGGCAUCGGGUGGGUGUGGAAAGAAUUUCGGUCCAGGAUGAGCUCGCGGCCUAUCAGCUUGUUGGUGAGGUAACGGCUCACCAAGGCGACGACGGGUAGCCGGCCUGAGAGGGUGACCGGCCACACUGGGACUGAGACACGGCCCAGACUCCUACGGGAGGCAGCAGUGGGGAAUAUUGCACAAUGGGCGCAAGCCUGAUCUAGCCAUGCCGCGUGAGUGAUGAAGGCCUUAGGGUCGUAAAGCUCUUUCGCCAGAGAUGAUAAUGACAGUAUCUGGUAAAGAAACCCCGGCUAACUCCGUGCCAGCAGCCGCGGUAAUACGGAGGGGGUCAGCGUUGUUCGGAAUUACUGGGCGUAAAGCGCACGUAGGCGGAUUAGAAAGUUGGGGGUGAAAUCCCGGGGCUCAACCUCGGAACGGCCUCCAAAACUCCUAGUCUAGAGUUCGAGAGAGGUGAGUGGAAUUCCAAGUGUAGAGGUGAAAUUCGUAGAUAUUUGGAGGAACGCCAGUGGCGAAGGCGGCUCACUGGCUCGAUACUGACGCUGAGGUGCGAAAGUGUGGGGAGCAAACAGGAUUAGAUACCCUGGUAG
Molecule: ribosomal RNA, 672 nt
Filed under: uncultured Alphaproteobacteria bacterium
Lineage: Bacteria; Pseudomonadati; Pseudomonadota; Alphaproteobacteria
Description: bacterial SSU rRNA
Rfam family: Bacterial small subunit ribosomal RNA
Source: RNAcentral